RNAcentral lists this RNase P RNA (382 nucleotides) under Bacillota bacterium. RNAcentral describes it as "RNase P RNA component class A". It matches the Rfam family "Bacterial RNase P class A". From Rfam's summary of the family: Ribonuclease P (RNase P) is a ubiquitous endoribonuclease, found in archaea, bacteria and eukarya as well as chloroplasts and mitochondria. Its best characterised activity is the generation of mature 5'-ends of tRNAs by cleaving the 5'-leader elements of precursor-tRNAs. The record is from RNAcentral. Lineage: Bacteria; Bacillati; Bacillota. RNAcentral also lists the same sequence under 2 other names.
UGAGUAAGCCAGAUGAUCGCGUGUUAUCAACACGAGGAAAGUCCGGGCUCCACAGGGUAGGGCGCUGGAUAACACCCAGUAGGGGCAACCCUAAGGAUAGUGCAACAGAGAGAGACCGCCCGACAUUCAAUUUUAACAUUCUAUUAAAAAAUGGGUUGUUAAAAUUGAAUGUCGGGUAAGGCUGGAAAGGUGAGGUAAGAGCUCACCAGGGAUUAGGCGACUAAUCUGCUAUGUAAACCCCGUCCGGAGCAAGACCAAGCAGGGAUAAAAAAGGCGGCUACCCGUCGCUUCCCGUAGGUAGGUCGCUUGAGCCGAUUGGUAACAAUCGGUCUAGAUAGAUGAUCAUCAAAAACAGAACCCGGCUUAUAGGCUUAGUCACUUA